This 319-nucleotide ribosomal RNA is filed under the name uncultured eukaryote. RNAcentral's name for it is "partial 18S ribosomal RNA". It matches the Rfam family "Eukaryotic small subunit ribosomal RNA", at positions 1470 to 1796 of the family's 1831-position model. The record is from RNAcentral.
CCCUUAGAUGUUCUGGGCCGCACGCGCGCUACACUGACGAAUGCAACGAGCUUAUAACCUUGGCCGAAAGGUCUGGGUAAUCUCCAAAUUUCGUCGUGAUGGGGAUAGAUUAUUGCAAUUAUUAAUCUUCAACGAGGAAUGCCUAGUAAGCGCAGGUCAUUAGCCUGCGCUGAUUAAGUCCCUGCCCUUUGUACACACCGCCCGUCGCUCCUACCGAUUUCGAGUGGUCCGGCGAAUCUUUCGGACUGCGCGCGGCCUUGAGUCGUGUCGCGGAAAGUCAGGUGAACCUUAUCACUUAGAGGAAGGAGAAGUCGUAACA